CUGAGUUUAUUUUUAGUUUUGUGCUUCCUUGUUGUUACACAGAGCAUGCACUUAUUGGGUAGUGGUUGGAUUUCUGGGCACCAUAUGUAUUUCCAUAUACACACACAGAGCUUUUUCUAAGGGGCAGCUAGAAGAAUGCUCAAACACAAAGGAGAAAGCAAGGUCUGAUAAAGGAGUAAGGGAAGAUAAGAGGAUUCAUUUAAUGUGGUGGAGCUGAGCUAAAACCUGGAUCAGAUUCAUUUAAUGUGAUGGAGCUGAGCUAAAACCUGGAUCAAGCCUUGAAAUGAUACCAAGAAGUUGGUGUGAGCCUGGCAGAAAUCGCCCAAACAAGACUGCUGAAUGAUAAGUGAUUCAUGAUUAUCAUUCCUCUUCUUUUUCAUAUUGUCUAUAUAUGCUGAAGCAACAGAAGACCCAAGAACGUGAACAAAUAUUUGCAUGAAAAGAAGCAGAUGAAUUGCCUCUGUCCAGAUACUUAUUUUGCUACCUAUCAUGGCUGUUAAACAGAUUGCCCUAUUUUGGUCACUGGGACCCAGUGUAACAUUUUAGAAGGAGCAGAAGCUGCAUCAGAAACCCAGCUUCUAAUCCAAGCACUUCAGCUGCAUGCCUGGGGAUGUGGAACAUGAAUCCAAUGAGUGAACGUGCCACUUAGCCUCUGUUAUCCAGUUUAAUCCUAGGGAGUGUUUCAAUCUCUCCUCUUUGUCUCGUCUACCCUAUAUGACUUACUGUGCAACUUCAUCUGGAGAAAAAAUGAUAGUCAAGUAUGUUAUAAAUACCUUGAAAUGAAUGGAAU
Molecule: long non-coding RNA, 790 nt
Organism: Cuculus canorus (common cuckoo)
Lineage: Eukaryota; Metazoa; Chordata; Aves; Cuculiformes; Cuculidae
Exons: 3
Source: RefSeq, a predicted model, not a curated record